This 471-nucleotide ribosomal RNA is filed under the name uncultured bacterium. Its description in RNAcentral is "bacterial SSU rRNA". It matches the Rfam family "Bacterial small subunit ribosomal RNA", at positions 28 to 508 of the family's 1533-position model. The record is from RNAcentral.
GACGAACGCUGGCGGCGUGCUUAACACAUGCAAGUCGAACGGUGAUCUCGAGAGCUUGCUCUUGGGUGAUCAGUGGCGAACGGGUGAGUAACACGUGAGUAACCUGCCCCAGACUCUGGAAUAACCCCGGGAAACCGGAGCUAAUACCGGAUAUGACACCAAUCCGCAUGGGUAUGGUGUGGAAAGUUUUUCGGUCUGGGAUGGACUCGCGGCCUAUCAGCUUGUUGGUGAGGUAGUGGCUCACCAAGGCGACGACGGGUAGCCGGCCUGAGAGGGCGACCGGCCACACUGGGACUGAGACACGGCCCAGACUCCUACGGGAGGCAGCAGUGGGGAAUAUUGCACAAUGGGCGCAAGCCUGAUGCAGCGACGCCGCGUGAGGGAUGACGGCCUUCGGGUUGUAAACCUCUUUCAGCAGGGAAGAAGCGCAAGUGACGGUACCUGCAGAAGAAGCACCGGCUAACUACGUGC